RNAcentral lists this ribosomal RNA (800 nucleotides) under uncultured bacterium. RNAcentral describes it as "bacterial SSU rRNA". It matches the Rfam family "Bacterial small subunit ribosomal RNA", at positions 8 to 833 of the family's 1533-position model. The record is from RNAcentral.
AGAGUUUGAUCCUGGCUCAGGACGAACGCUGGCGGCGUGCCUAACACAUGCAAGUCGAGCGGGGGACUUCGGUCCCUAGCGGCGGACGGGUGAGUAACACGUGGGUAACCUGCCUUGUAGAGGGGGAUAGCCUUCCGAAAGGAAGAUUAAUACCGCAUAACAUUAUUUUGUCGCAUGGCAGAAUAAUCAAAGGAGCAAUCCGCUACAAGAUGGACCCGCGGCGCAUUAGCUAGUUGGUGAGGUAACGGCUCACCAAGGCGACGAUGCGUAGCCGGCCUGAGAAGGUGAACGGCCACAUUGGAACUGAGACACGGUCCAGACUCCUACGGGAGGCAGCAGUGGGGAAUAUUGCACAAUGGGCGAAAGCCUGAUGCAGCAACGCCGCGUGAGUGAUGAAGGCCUUCGGGUUGUAAAGCUCUGUCUUCUGGGACGAUAAUGACGGUACCCAAGGAGGAAGCCACGGCUAACUACGUGCCAGCAGCCGCGGUAAUACGUAGGUGGCAAGCGUUGUCCGGAUUUACUGGGCGUAAAGGGAGCGUAGGUGGAUAUUUAAGUGGGAUGUGAAAUCCCCGGGCUUAACCUGGGGGCUGCAUUCCAAACUGGAUGUCUAGAGUGCAGGAGAGGAGAGUGGAAUUCCUAGUGUAGCGGUGAAAUGCGUAGAGAUUAGGAAGAACACCAGUGGCGAAGGCGACUCUCUGGACUGUAACUGACACUGAGGCUCGAAAGCGUGGGGAGCAAACAGGAUUAGAUACCCUGGUAGUCCACGCCGUAAACGAUGGGUACUAGGUGUAGGGGUUUCG